AACGGCUCAGUGAGGCCUCCGGACUGGCCCAGGGAGGUGGGCAACUACCACCCAGGUGCCGGAAAGUUGUACGAACUCGGUCGUUUAGAGGAAGUAAAAGUCGUAACAAGGUCUCCGUUGGUGAACCAGCGGAGGGAUCAUUA
Molecule: ribosomal RNA, 143 nt
Filed under: Gaeumannomyces tritici
Lineage: Eukaryota; Fungi; Ascomycota; Sordariomycetes; Magnaporthales; Magnaporthaceae
Description: 18S ribosomal RNA
Rfam family: Eukaryotic small subunit ribosomal RNA
Source: RNAcentral